CUUCAACGAUCCCAGCCACAACGGCCGGUCCCGGUCCUUGCCGUACGUGGCCAGCAGGGCCUCGGCCUC
Molecule: antisense RNA, 69 nt
Filed under: Lentzea waywayandensis
Lineage: Bacteria; Bacillati; Actinomycetota; Actinomycetes; Pseudonocardiales; Pseudonocardiaceae
Description: ASpks TB sRNA
Rfam family: ASpks TB sRNA
Source: RNAcentral